CAGUUCGGAUUGAAGGCUGAAAUUCGCCUUCAUGAAGCCGGAAUUGCUAGUAAUGGCAGGUCAGCAUACUGCCGUGAAUACGUUCCCGGGCCUUGUACACACCGCCCGUCACACCAUGAGAGUUGGGAAUACCCGAAGCCUGUGAGCUAACUUUUAGAGGCAGCAGUCGAAGGUAGAAUCAAUGAUUGGGGUGAAGUCGUAACAAGGUAUC
This 211-nucleotide ribosomal RNA is filed under the name uncultured bacterium. RNAcentral describes it as "partial 16S ribosomal RNA". It matches the Rfam family "Bacterial small subunit ribosomal RNA", at positions 1289 to 1500 of the family's 1533-position model. The record is from RNAcentral.